This 253-nucleotide ribosomal RNA is filed under the name uncultured bacterium. RNAcentral describes it as "partial 16S ribosomal RNA". The stretch from base 27 to 253 matches the Rfam family "Bacterial small subunit ribosomal RNA", at positions 550 to 776 of the family's 1533-position model. The record is from RNAcentral.
UACCAGCACCCCGAGUGGUCGGGACGAUUAUUGGGCCUAAAGCAUCCGUAGCCGGUCCUGCAAGUCUUCCGUGAAAGCCCCCGGCUCAACUGGGGAGGGUCACGCGAUACUGAUCGACUCGAAGGCAGGAGAGGGAAGUGGAAUUCCCGGUGUAGUGGUGAAAUGCGUAGAUAUCGGGAGGAACACCAGUGGCGAAGGCGACUUCCUGGCCUGUUCUUGACGCUGAGGCGCGAAAGCUAGGGGAGCAAACGGG